RNAcentral lists this long non-coding RNA (321 nucleotides) under Lonchura striata (white-rumped munia). RNAcentral's name for it is "domestica (Bengalese finch) lncRNA (ENSLSDG00000016653.1)". The record is from RNAcentral. Lineage: Eukaryota; Metazoa; Chordata; Aves; Passeriformes; Estrildidae.
AAGAACCAUGUGUGGCCAGAAAUAGGAAGUGAUCCUGGGCCUCUGUCCCCUCAUCCAACUCCUUCUGUGCCGCCAUGGCCUGUUGGGUGCUGCCUGUGGAGCACAGGACUGCAAUGUCAGACGUGGAUACAGCACAGCUCUGGUAAUUAAGAAUGGCAUUCCUGCUAGAGCUCUUGUAACUGAGAAGUACUUCAGAGGAGCUAAAAAUCAGACCGAAGCUGUUCCGUUGUUUUUCUUCUUAUGUUGGUGCUGAAAAUCUGGCAAGUCAUUAAAGUAAAUAUUUUCUCAGACUGGAAUAAAUUCACACUGGAUUCAUGUGAA